GGGCGCAUAGCUCAGUUGGUAGAGCACUUGGCUCUUAACCAAAUGGUCGGAGGUUCGAGUCCUCCUGCGCCCACCA
RNAcentral lists this transfer RNA (76 nucleotides) under Candidatus Falkowiibacteriota bacterium. RNAcentral's name for it is "tRNA-Lys". It matches the Rfam family "tRNA". Rfam says of the family: Transfer RNA (tRNA) molecules are approximately 80 nucleotides in length. Their secondary structure includes four short double-helical elements and three loops (D, anti-codon, and T loops). Further hydrogen bonds mediate the characteristic L-shaped molecular structure. tRNAs have two regions of fundamental functional importance: the anti-codon, which is responsible for specific mRNA codon recognition, and the 3' end, to which the tRNAs corresponding amino acid is attached (by aminoacyl-tRNA synthetases). tRNAs cope with the degeneracy of the genetic code in two manners: having more than one tRNA (with a specific anti-codon) for a particular amino acid; and 'wobble' base-pairing, i.e. permitting non-standard base-pairing at the 3rd anti-codon position. The record is from RNAcentral. Lineage: Bacteria; Candidatus Falkowiibacteriota.